Molecule: ribosomal RNA, 392 nt
Filed under: uncultured bacterium
Lineage: Bacteria
Description: bacterial SSU rRNA
Rfam family: Bacterial small subunit ribosomal RNA
Source: RNAcentral
CCUAACACAUGCAAGUCGAACGGUAACAGGAAACAGCUUAGCUGUUUCGCUGACGAGUGGCGGACGGGUGAGUAAUAGUCUGGGAAACUAGCCUGAUGGAGGGGGAUAACUACUAGGAAACGGUAGCUAAUACCGCAUAACGUCGCAAGACCAAAGAGGGGGACCUUCGGGCCUCUUGCCAUCAGAUGUGCCCAGAUGGGAUUAGCUAGUAGGUGGGGUAACGGCUCACCUAGGCGACGAUCCCUAGCUGGUCUGAGAGGAUGACCAGCCACACUGGAACUGAGACACGGUCCAGACUCCUACGGGAGGCAGCAGUAGGGAAUAUUGCACAAUGGGCGCAAGCCUGAUGCAGCCAUGCCGCGUGUAUGAAGAAGGCCUUCGGGUUGUAAUAA